GGGCCCGUAGCUCAGUUGGGAGAGCGUUCGGUUCGCAUCCGAAAGGUCGUGGGUUCGAAUCCCUUCGGGUCCACCA
This 76-nucleotide transfer RNA is filed under the name Clostridiales bacterium. RNAcentral describes it as "tRNA-Ala". It matches the Rfam family "tRNA". From Rfam's summary of the family: Transfer RNA (tRNA) molecules are approximately 80 nucleotides in length. Lineage: Bacteria; Bacillati; Bacillota; Clostridia; Eubacteriales. The record is from RNAcentral. RNAcentral also lists the same sequence under 1 other name.